This 775-nucleotide ribosomal RNA is filed under the name uncultured Neocallimastigales. Its description in RNAcentral is "partial large subunit ribosomal RNA". It matches the Rfam family "Eukaryotic large subunit ribosomal RNA", at positions 22 to 644 of the family's 3401-position model. Lineage: Eukaryota; Fungi; Neocallimastigomycota; Neocallimastigomycetes; Neocallimastigales. The record is from RNAcentral.
GUACACGCUGUGACUAGCAUAUCAAUAAGCGGAGGAAAAGAAACUAACAAGGAUUCCCCUAGUAACGGCGAGUGAAGCGGGAAGAGCUCAAAUUUGAAAUCUUAAAGGGUUUCCCUUUACGAAUUGUAGUUUAAAGAAGUGUUUUCUGUUGAGGUUUUGGUAAAAGUUCUUUGGAAUAGGACAUCAUAGAGGGUGAGAAUCCCGUAUUUGACCUUUACUUUCAACUUUGUGAUACACUUUCAAAGAGUCGGAUUGUUUGGGAAUGCAGUCCAAAAUGGGUGGUAAAUUUCAUCUAAAGCUAAAUAUUGGCGAGAGACCGAUAGCGAACAAGUACCGUGAGGGAAAGAUGAAAAGAACUUUGAAAAGAGAGUUAAACAGUACGUGAAAUUGUCAAAAGGGAAGCGUUUGACACCAGUGUUGUUUUUCUGAAAAUCAAUUAAAGAACUGUUUAUGCUAAGUUGUUUAGACUUUAUCAGCUAACUGUUUAGUUUUGAGCUUUUCUUUAAUGCACUUUUCAGUUAACAAGUCAACAUCAAUUUCUUUUGCUGUAAAAAAGCUUGAGGAAGGUGGCUUGAGAUUCGUCCUUAAGUGUUUAUAGCCUCUUGCCUAUGCAGUCGGAGAGAUUGAGGUCUGCAGCGUAGAUCCUUCGGGGCUAAAUGCAUUUGUGCUAAGUUAUAGCAUUUCAUAGACAACUUGUUGACUAUGAUUUGUCUUGUAGCUUACUCGCUUAUGUUAUUUUACCUACGCUUAGGAUGUUGACUGAUAUGUAGUCGUA